AUGGAAUAAUAAAAUAGGACGUUUGAUCUUAUUUUGUUGGUUUCUAGGAUCGACGUAAUGAUUAAUAGGGAUAGUUGGGGGCAUUAGUAUUCAAUUGUCAGAGGUGAAAUUCUUGGAUUUAUUGAAGACUAACUACUGCGAAAGCAUUUGCCAAGGAUGUUUUCAUUAAUCAAGAACGAAAGUUAGGGGAUCGAAGACGAUCAGAUACCGUCGUAGUCUUAACCAUAAACUAUGCCGACUAGGGAUCGGAUGAUGUUAUUUUUAAUGACUCAUUCGGCGCCUUACG
This 286-nucleotide ribosomal RNA is filed under the name uncultured Glomeromycotina. RNAcentral's name for it is "partial 18S ribosomal RNA". It matches the Rfam family "Eukaryotic small subunit ribosomal RNA", at positions 809 to 1092 of the family's 1831-position model. The record is from RNAcentral. Lineage: Eukaryota; Fungi; Glomeromycota.